This is a non-coding RNA of Pelobates cultripes (western spadefoot toad), 202 nucleotides long. The record is from the annotation of a GenBank genome assembly. NCBI's taxonomy places the organism in Eukaryota, Metazoa, Chordata, Amphibia, Anura, Pelobatidae.
GUAUUUGUCCUGAUUUCAGGGCGUUUUCCUCGUGUAGGUAUCCACAAGGAUUACCUUUUAACCUUGUCCACAAGUUGGAAUUAAUCAGGUCAAGGUGUAUGGCAAAGCGAUGUAUGACAUCAUUGCCAACGUAAACCUGAUAGCGAGGUUCGUCUAUCACUAGGAAUAAAUGUUUAACUGUCUUAUUUCCUAUGGAAAUAGA